CGAGGAGACAGAGAAGUUGUCCUGCAGCGCGCAGGCCGCUGUCCAGCCCCCUGGAGCCUCGGGGCCAGAGAUGGGGUGUCAGCCGGAGUCCAGGGGGGCCCCGGGCCAUGGAGGAGCGGCUCGGACGAGGGAAGCGGCCUGACAGCAGGGG
This is a long non-coding RNA of Choloepus didactylus (southern two-toed sloth), 151 nucleotides long. RefSeq lists it as uncharacterized. The record is from RefSeq and is a predicted model, not a curated record. NCBI's taxonomy places the organism in Eukaryota, Metazoa, Chordata, Mammalia, Pilosa, Megalonychidae. The transcript is spliced from 3 exons.